This 212-nucleotide ribosomal RNA is filed under the name uncultured bacterium. Its description in RNAcentral is "partial 16S ribosomal RNA". It matches the Rfam family "Bacterial small subunit ribosomal RNA", at positions 1288 to 1500 of the family's 1533-position model. The record is from RNAcentral.
UCAGUUCGGAUUGCAGGCUGCAACUCGCCUGCAUGAAGCUGGAAUUGCUAGUAAUCGCGGAUCAGCAAGCCGCGGUGAAUACGUUCCCGGGCCUUGUACACACCGCCCGUCACACCAUGAGAGUCGGGAACACCCGAAGUCCGUAGUCUAACCGCAAGGGGGCGCGGCCGAAGGUGGGUCCGGUAAUUGGGGUGAAGUCGUAACAAGGUAGC